UACCCCACUAUGCCUAGCCAUAAACUUUGAUUAUCCGCCAGAGUACUACGAGCCACAGCUUAAAACUCAAAGGACUUGGCGGUGCUUUAUACCCCCCUAGAGGAGCCUGUUCUAUAAUCGAUAAUCCCCGAUAAACCUCACCACCUAUUGCCAAUACAGCCUAUAUACCACCGUCCAGCCCGCCCUUUAAAGGAAAAACAGCAGGCAUAAUAAUCAACAUUAAAACGUCAGGUCAAGGUGUAGCAGAUAAGAUGGAAAGAAAUGGGCUACAUUUUCUAAUUUAGAAGACACGGAAGACUCUAUGAAACAGUCUCUGAAGGAGGAUUUAGCAGUAAAAAGAAACAAGAGUGUUCUUUUUAAGCCGGCAAUAAAGCGCGCACACACCGCC
This 388-nucleotide ribosomal RNA is filed under the name Lyciasalamandra antalyana. Its description in RNAcentral is "partial 12S ribosomal RNA". It matches the Rfam family "Bacterial small subunit ribosomal RNA", at positions 783 to 1394 of the family's 1533-position model. The record is from RNAcentral. Lineage: Eukaryota; Metazoa; Chordata; Amphibia; Caudata; Salamandridae.